UGUCAUUCUAUGUGUUCGUGCUUUCCGUUUGUGCAGCUCUGAUCUUCAGAAUAGCAUCAGGACUCCAGUGUUACAGCUGCAAUAUUAUCGCUGGAGCAAAAUAUAUUGACAAGGGGUGUACAAACCCUGAAGUCGUCACAUGUUCCCAAUCACACAAGGGGUUCAAACAGCGGUUCUGCAUAAAAACUGAGAGCGUGGUGUUGGGAAUUCUCUUGACAAGUGGGUGUGCUACCUCCCGUCACUGCCAGCAACAGGAGCUGCCUGGAGUGAGGAUACAUUGCUGUG
Molecule: long non-coding RNA, 285 nt
Organism: Bombina bombina (fire-bellied toad)
Lineage: Eukaryota; Metazoa; Chordata; Amphibia; Anura; Bombinatoridae
Exons: 3
Source: RefSeq, a predicted model, not a curated record